This 468-nucleotide ribosomal RNA is filed under the name uncultured bacterium. Its description in RNAcentral is "partial 16S ribosomal RNA". It matches the Rfam family "Bacterial small subunit ribosomal RNA", at positions 28 to 507 of the family's 1533-position model. The record is from RNAcentral.
GACGAACGCUGGCGGCGUGCUUAACACAUGCAAGUCGAACGGAAAGGCCCUGCUUUUGUGGGGUGCUCGAGUGGCGAACGGGUGAGUAACACGUGAGUAACCUGCCCUUGACUUUGGGAUAACUUCAGGAAACUGGGGCUAAUACCGGAUAGGAGCUCCUGCUGCACGGUGGGGGUUGGAAAGUUUCGGCGGUUGGGGAUGGACUCGCGGCUUAUCAGCUUGUUGGUGGGGUAGUGGCUUACCAAGGCUUUGACGGGUAGCCAGCCUGAGAGGGUGACCGGCCACAUUGGGACUGAGAUACCGCCCGGACUCCUACGGGAGGCAGCAGUGGGGAAUAUUGCACAAUGGGCGGAAGCCUGAUGCAGCAACGCCGCGUGCGGGAUGACGGCCUUCGGGUUGUAAACCGCUUUCGCCUGUGACGAAGCGUGAGUGACGGUAAUGGGUAAAGAAGCACCGGCUAACUACGUG